ACUCUAGCAUUGACUCCAAUCCACAUGUGUUGAGGUGGAUUGGGGUGUAAAUUAGUUUAAGUUACACCCCAAUACAUCUCAAUACAAGUGGAUUGGAGUUAAUACUAGA
This is a non-coding RNA of Zea mays, 109 nucleotides long. NCBI's taxonomy places the organism in Eukaryota, Viridiplantae, Streptophyta, Magnoliopsida, Poales, Poaceae. The record is from Rfam.